RNAcentral lists this ribosomal RNA (465 nucleotides) under uncultured bacterium. Its description in RNAcentral is "partial 16S ribosomal RNA". It matches the Rfam family "Bacterial small subunit ribosomal RNA", at positions 28 to 507 of the family's 1533-position model. The record is from RNAcentral.
GACGAACGCUGGCGGCGUGCUUAACACAUGCAAGUCGAACGGAAAGGCCCUGCUUGCCGGGUACUCGAGUGGCGAACGGGUGAGUAACACGUGGGUGAUCUGCCCUGCACUUCGGGAUAAGCCUGGGAAACUGGGUCUAAUACCGGAUAGGAGCCAUUUUUAGUGUGAUGGUUGGAAAGUUUUUUCGGUGUAGGAUGAGCUCGCGGCCUAUCAGCUUGUUGGUGGGGUAAUGGCCUACCAAGGCGGCGACGGGUAGCCGGCCUGGGAGGGUGGACGGCCACAUUGGGGCUUAGGUAAGGCCCCAGCCCCUACGGGAGGCAGCAGGGGGGAAUAUUGCACAAUGGGCGCAAGCCUGAUGCAGCGACGCCGCGUGGGGGAUGACGGCCUUCGGGUUGUAAACUCCUUUCGCUAGGGACGAAGCUUUUUGUGACGGUACCUAGAGAAGAAGCACCGGCUAACUACGUG